UACGGGGGGGGCAAGCGUUGUUCGGAAUUACUGGGCGUAAAGGGCUCGUAGGCGGCCAACUAAGUCCGACGUGAAAUCCCCAGGCUUAACCUGGGAACUGCGUCGGAUACUGGAUGGCUUGAAUCCGGGAGGGGGAUGCGGAAUUCCAGGUGUAGCGGUGAAAUGCGUAGAUAUCUGGAGGAACACCGGUGGCGAAGGCGGCAUCCUGGACCGGCAUUGACGCUGAGGAGCGAAAGCCAGGGGAGCAAACGGG
RNAcentral lists this ribosomal RNA (253 nucleotides) under uncultured bacterium. RNAcentral describes it as "partial 16S ribosomal RNA". It matches the Rfam family "Bacterial small subunit ribosomal RNA", at positions 524 to 776 of the family's 1533-position model. The record is from RNAcentral.